AGCGAACGUUUGCGGCGGGCUUAACACAUGCAGGUCGAACGGGCUGUUCCUUCGGGGGCAGUCAGUGGCGCACGGGUGCGUAACACGUAGGUAAUCAACCCUCUGGUUGGGGAUAACACUUCGAAAGGAGUGCUAAUACCCGGUAUGGCGCAGCGGUCUUCGGAUCGCGGCGAGAAAGACCCGCAAGGGUUGCCAGAGGACGAGCCUGCGGCCCAUCAGCUAGUUGGCGAGGUAACGGCUCACCAAGGCGAAGACGGGUAGCUGGUCUGAGAGGAUGAUCAGCCACACUGGAACUGAGACACGGUCCAGACUCCUACGGGAGGCAGCAGUGGGGAAUAUUGCGCAAUGGGCGAAAGCCUGACGCAGCCGCGCCGCGUGAGCGAUGAAGGCCU
RNAcentral lists this ribosomal RNA (392 nucleotides) under uncultured bacterium. Its description in RNAcentral is "bacterial SSU rRNA". It matches the Rfam family "Bacterial small subunit ribosomal RNA", at positions 30 to 417 of the family's 1533-position model. The record is from RNAcentral.